RNAcentral lists this ribosomal RNA (446 nucleotides) under uncultured bacterium. RNAcentral describes it as "bacterial SSU rRNA". It matches the Rfam family "Bacterial small subunit ribosomal RNA", at positions 29 to 520 of the family's 1533-position model. The record is from RNAcentral.
AGCGAACGCUGGCGGCAGGCUUAACACAUGCAAGUCGAACGCAUCCUUCGGGAUGAGUGGCAGACGGGUGAGUAACACGUGGGAACGUACCUUUUAGUUCGGAAUAACUCAGGGAAACUUGGGCUAAUACCGGAUACGCCCUUUGGGGGAAAGAUUUAUCGCUAAAAGAUCGGCCCGCGUCUGAUUAGCUAGUUGGUGUGGUAAUGGCGCACCAAGGCGACGAUCAGUAGCUGGUCUGAGAGGAUGAUCAGCCACACUGGGACUGAGACACGGCCCAGACUCCUACGGGAGGCAGCAGUGGGGAAUAUUGGACAAUGGGCGCAAGCCUGAUCCAGCCAUGCCGCGUGAGUGAUGAAGGCCCUAGGGUUGUAAAGCUCUUUCACCGGUGAAGAUAAUGACGGUAACCGGAGAAGAAGCCCCGGCUAACUUCGUGCCAGCCGCCGCCG